GUGUGCAAAGGUAGCAUAAUCAUUUGUCUUUUAAUUUGAGACUGGAAUGAAAGGUUAGACUAUGUAAUAUUGUCUUAUAAUAAUAUUUUGAAAUUUAUGUUUUAGUAAAAAAGCUACAAUUAUUUUUAAAGACGAGAAGACCCUAUCAAGCUUUACAAUUUUAAUUUAUUUUCAAGUUAAACUAAAAAUUGUUUUGCUGGGGCAGCAGAUAAAAAGUUUUUAUUUUUAUAUUGUGAUUAAUAAAUCUUGAAAAAUCAAGAAAUUUUUAAACAAGAAUAAGUUACUGUAGGGAUAACAGCAUAAUUUUUUUAAAGAGUUCUUAUCAUCAAAAAAGUUUGUGACCUCGAUGUUGGAUUAAGAGUCCUUAUUCAUGCAAUAAGAAANAAGNAAGCCGGNNGNCUNAAAAGNGGNUANAA
RNAcentral lists this ribosomal RNA (416 nucleotides) under Serradigitus minutus. RNAcentral describes it as "partial 16S ribosomal RNA". The record is from RNAcentral. Lineage: Eukaryota; Metazoa; Arthropoda; Arachnida; Scorpiones; Vaejovidae.